Zootoca vivipara (common lizard) is the source of this 2408-nucleotide non-coding RNA. The record is from RefSeq and is a predicted model, not a curated record. Lineage: Eukaryota; Metazoa; Chordata; Lepidosauria; Squamata; Lacertidae.
GUUUGCUACAGUUCUUGCCACAAACCUUUUACCUCAGGGUCAUGAAUGGUUGUGAUGGUCUGAUAAUGGCUUACCUCACUGGAGACUGUGAUUCACCAAUAAGAGUGGGAAAGCACAAAGUUUGUGAGGGAUUUCCAUGCUGAUUUCAUUUUGGUCAGGUGUUGUGUCCCUCAUUGUGAUGGGGGAUUGUCUUAGUAAGACAGGUGAUAGAACCCACUCCAUUUCCACUCCUCCACUCCAUUUCCAAACCAAUGUAAUUGCAGCUGUGUUGUCCAUAUGGAUUGCCUGAACAAAUGGGACAACUCUUUAUAUCUUGUAAAUAUGUAUCUUCCUUAAGACUGACCCCCACCCUAGCACAGGGGUCCUUAUAUAGGCUUAUACUAGAUCUGUCCAGUAUCGUGCAGAGAUACAUUUUUUAAAUGCUAUAACCUAUUUCACUUCCACAUGUUUGUGACUGGUUUGGACACUACCGUAAUUAAACUUGGGGAAUUGAGGUCUAUCACCUUUGUAGGGCAGGCUCACUGUAUAAAAGUCUAAGACUCCCAUUUAGAAUAGACUCAAUCUGAGUAUAUUAGUUGUAUAGAAAUGAGUUUACAAUAAGGAAAUUUUCAAUUGCUAUGUAGCUAACUUCUUGACUUGUUAGUAAGCAAAAGUCUCAUUUUUAAUGGUGUCCAGAAGUUAGCAUUGCAGUGUAUAGUUUAAAAUUAUUUUGUUGCUGUUAUCAACUUGUGUACAUGAUUCAUGUAUAUAGUCUAAUAUUAGAGUUUCCUUGCCUUUGGCAAAAAAACCAAACCCAUGCUGAAUUUCCAAGUGGAAGUGAAGCUAUGUUUUCAGCAGAGACUAGAACAGCAAUUUCAUUCUUUACUGCACAAUAUACUGUUUCUAUCUACUGCUGCUUGCUUCUUCUUCAUAAGUUACCGGUAUGUCACAUUGACCCUAAAGAUCGGAAGCCAAAGCUUUUCCCCUUGAUAUUUUGGAAUCCUUUGCAAAAGGAUCUUAAGUGAUCCAAAUGUUAGCUGCAGAAGCCUCCUGCUCAGCCAUGAAUUCAUCAAUGUACGACCCUGGUUAUAGUUAAUCACAGCCUUGGUUUGCUGCCCGUAAAUUGGGAUAUAACCUACCUGCCAGUCUGCAGUACUAAACCAAUCUGGAAGUGAGUCCAACUGAAGUCAGUGGGACUUACUUUAGAGUUAACAUGCUUAGAAUUGGGAAUGGUUAAGGACACGGGUGGCGCUGUGGUCUAAACCACAGAGCCUAGGGCUUGCCGAUCAGAAGGUCGGCAGUUUGAAUCCCUGCGACAGCGUGAGCUCCUGUUGCUUGGUCCCAGCUCCUGCCAACCUAGCAGUUCAAAAGCACGUCAAAGUGCAAGUAGAUAAAUAGGUACUGCUCCAGCGGGAAGGUAAACGGCAUUUCCGUGCCCUGCUCUGGUUCACCAGAAGUGGCUUUGUCAUGCUGGCCACAUGACCCGGAAGCUGUCUGCGUACAAACACAGGCUCCCUCGGCCAGUAAAGUGAGAUGAGCACCGCAACCCCAAUGUCGUCUGCGACUGGACUUAACGGUCAGGGGUCCCUUUACCUUUUAAGGACAGAAAACAGUUUGCACUCUUGAGCAGCUAUAAAUGUUAAUAAUGCAAUCUUAUUUAUGCUGCUCUUCUUUUUAACUGCUUUUUCUCAGGCUGAAGGGGAAAAUGAGCACCACUUGUCAGAUUGUCAAAUUUGGUUCUGCUAUAGUUUGCUUUUGGGAAGUUGACCUGAAGAGGUCGCUAGAUAUACAUCCAAGAAACAGGAGUAAACUAAAAUUUCUGUGAGCAAGAAAGGAGCCCCAGCUGAUGAAGCAUCCGAGCCCCAGUGACAGAGCAUUAAAUUAACAAGCAAGUCAUUCAAGGAGUUUAAGAACCUCAGUAGAACCCUGCUGGAUCAGGCCACAGGCUCAUCCAUCCAACAGACAAGUUACCACGGGAACUAAAGAACUCUGGGAAAUGAAAACUAUUCUGGGGCAAGAUCUUCUUAAGUUGCAGGUUGAUCUGCAGAAAUCGGCUGCUGGAGCUUUUCAUGAUGUGGAGAUAAACACCUUCACCUGAUAACACCUACCGAUAAAACCACUGCUAAAGGUUUUACCACCACAGGGGUAAGUUCAAAAGCUGGCAGCUCUAAUUGCAGCCCUUAUCAACACAUCUAGAACAAGAACAGUGUAUUCCUUUGUCCUGGAUGAAGCUUAACAGUUACCUUCUCACAUCAAUGAGAUCAUAAGCAUGGGCAUGUCUAUUAUUUAUUAGGACCAUUAGAAAUGCUGGAUAAUUGAUGACCUUCACUUCACUUCAGGAGUCCCCACUUGAGACUAAAUGGUCCCACAAGAAUGUGCCCAGGUACUGGAAGUUGCUGAAACUGUGGUCCCAUUGAGGGACCUUUUCU